Molecule: ribosomal RNA, 451 nt
Filed under: uncultured bacterium
Lineage: Bacteria
Description: bacterial SSU rRNA
Rfam family: Bacterial small subunit ribosomal RNA
Source: RNAcentral
GUGAGGAAUCUUGCGCAAUGGGGGAAACCCUGACGCAGCAACGCCGCGUGAGUGAUGAAGGCCUUCGGGUCGUAAAGCUCUGUCAGAUGGGAAGAAAGUUUCGGCGGUGAACAAUCGCCGGGAUUGACGGUACCGUCAGAGGAAGCACCGGCUAACUCCGUGCCAGCAGCCGCGGUAAUACGGAGGGUGCAAGCGUUGUUCGGAAUCAUUGGGCGUAAAGAGCGUGUAGGCGGUCGGGUAAGUCAGAUGUGAAAUCCCUUGGCUUAACCAAGGAAGUGCAUUUGAAACUGCCCGGCUUGAGUACGGGAGGGGGAAGUGGAAUUCCCGGUGUAGAGGUGAAAUUCGUAGAUAUCGGGAGGAACACCGGUGGCGAAGGCGGCUUCCUGGACCGAUACUGACGCUGAGACGCGAAAGCGUGGGGAGCAAACAGGAUUAGAUACCCUAGUAGUCC